UAGGGAAUCUUCCGCAAUGGACGCAAGUCUGACGGAGCAACGCCGCGUGAGUGAAGAAGGAUUUCGGUUCGUAAAACUCUGUUGUUAGAGAAGAACAGCGCAUAGAGUAACUGUUAUGCGUGUGACGGUAUCUAACCAGAAAGCCACGGCUAACUACGUGCCAGCAGCCGCGGUAAUACGUAGGUGGCAAGCGUUGUCCGGAUUUAUUGGGCGUAAAGCGAGCGCAGGCGGUCAAUUAAGUCUGAUGUGAAAGCCCCCGGCUCAACCGGGGAGGGUCAUUGGAAACUGGUUGACUUGAGUGCAGAAGAGGAGAGUGGAAUUCCAUGUGGAGCGGUGAGAUGCGUAGAUAUAUGGAGGAACACCAGUGGCGAAGGCGACUCUCUGGUCUGUAACUGACGCUGAGGUUCGAAAGCGUGGGUAGCAAACAGG
This 429-nucleotide ribosomal RNA is filed under the name Bacteroidota bacterium. Its description in RNAcentral is "Bacteroidetes bacterium partial 16S ribosomal RNA". It matches the Rfam family "Bacterial small subunit ribosomal RNA", at positions 355 to 776 of the family's 1533-position model. The record is from RNAcentral. Lineage: Bacteria; Pseudomonadati; Bacteroidota.